RNAcentral lists this ribosomal RNA (465 nucleotides) under uncultured Arsenophonus sp. RNAcentral's name for it is "bacterial SSU rRNA". It matches the Rfam family "Bacterial small subunit ribosomal RNA", at positions 338 to 795 of the family's 1533-position model. The record is from RNAcentral. Lineage: Bacteria; Pseudomonadati; Pseudomonadota; Gammaproteobacteria; Enterobacterales; Morganellaceae.
CCUACGGGGGGCAGAAGUGGGGAAUAUUGCACAAUGGGCGCAAGCCUGAUGCAGCCAUGCCGCGUGUAUGAAGAAGGCCUUCGGGUUGUAAAGUACUUUCAGUCGUGAGGAAGGUGUUAAGGUUAAUAACCUUAGCAAUUGACGUUAGCGACAGAAGAAGCACCGGCUAACUCCGUGCCAGCAGCCGCGGUAAUACGGAGGGUGCGAGCGUUAAUCGGAAUUACUGGGCGUAAAGGGCACGCAGGCGGUUAAUAAAGUAAGACGAGGAGUCGCCGGGCGUAACAUGGGAAAGGAUUUCAGGAAUGGUGUGCUAGGGUGGUGUGGAGGGGGGUAGGAGUACAUGUGUAGCGGUGCAAUGGGUAGCAAUGUGAAGUAAUAGCGUGAGCGAGAGCUGCACAAUGGACAAAAGAUGAAGAACAUGUGAGACAGCGUGGAAGGAAAGCUUGAUUAAACAACCGCGAAGGC